This 446-nucleotide ribosomal RNA is filed under the name uncultured bacterium. RNAcentral describes it as "partial 16S ribosomal RNA". It matches the Rfam family "Bacterial small subunit ribosomal RNA", at positions 338 to 795 of the family's 1533-position model. The record is from RNAcentral.
CCUACGGGCGGCAGCAGUCGAGAAUCAUUCACAAUGGGGGAAACCCUGAUGGUGCGACGCCGCGUGGGGGAAUGAAGGUCUUCGGAUUGUAAACUCCUGUCAUGUGGGAGCAAAUUAAAAAGAUAGUACCACAAGAGGAAGAGACGGCUAACUCUGUGCCAGCAGCCGCGGUAAUACAGAGGUCUCAAGCGUUGUUCGGAAUCACUGGGCGUAAAGCGUGCGUAGGCUGUUUCGUAAGCCGUGAGUGAAAGGCGCGGGCUCAACCCGCGGACGGCACAUGAUACUGCGAGACUAGAGUAAGGGAGGGGGAAGCGGAAUUCUCGGUGUAGCAGUGAAAUGCGUAGAUAUCGAGAGGAACACUCGUGGCGAAGGCGGGUGCCUGGACAUUAACUGACGCUGAGGCACGAAGGCCAGGGGAGCGAAAGGGAUUAGAUACCCCAGUAGUC